This is a long non-coding RNA of Chenopodium quinoa (quinoa), 1707 nucleotides long. RefSeq lists it as uncharacterized. The transcript has 2 exons. The record is from RefSeq and is a predicted model, not a curated record. NCBI's taxonomy places the organism in Eukaryota, Viridiplantae, Streptophyta, Magnoliopsida, Caryophyllales, Amaranthaceae.
UUAAUGUGAGAAUAACACGUAGGAUAGCUUAAGGAUUGAUGAUGUCAGUUUUGUCUUUAGUAAUAGUUAAUUGAUAUAGAAAUAAGAUCAUUUGAGAACCAAGGUGAAUAAUAGGAACUAGAAACUGAUAUGAGCCGUCCAUCGCAUUUCACCUAACGGUCUACACUUCUCCCGCUUCAUUAAGGGUAGAAAUGUAAUUUCUGCAAAUUGAAUGACUACCCAGAAUUUCCGCUACUUCUUUUUUUCACUUUCUCUCUCUUCUUGCCAACUCUCCAUCUGCAAUUUUUUUUUCUCCUGUUUUUCGCCAAAGUCCUUCAGUUUAUUCUUGGAUCUUUGUUGCUUGUUAUUUUUUAUCAAGUUAUUUAUCUGAUUUUUUUUUUCUUGUUCUUUUUAUUCAAUUAGGUUUUUCUUUUUAAUUUCGUUUAUUUCAAGUUUGAAAUUAGGGUUUUUGCGUUUCAGUUUGAUUAAUUGUGCUUUUGCGUUUUAUUAAUUAGAUAGUGAUUACGCAUUUUUUUUGUCUUGUUCAUAUUUUGUUUCAUUUUUUUUUAUUCAAAUAUGUGGUUGUUUUAUGGAUUUAAUGUGAUUGUUGAAUAAUUUGUACUUGUUUUUGAUGUUUAUCGAGAUGUAUUGGUUUUUUUGGAAAUAGUUUAAUGGUGAAUAUGAUGAUUAGAGUCUAGAUUUGGGUGUUUAAUUUUGGGUUUUGUGAUAGGUGAAUUACUAGAAGUUGGUGAACAUACUUAGCGUUUAAUUUUGGGUAUGUAUGUAUCUAGAUACUAAUUCGAUUAUAGUUGGUCUAAAUUUGAGAAUGGAGCUUAGAGUUGCUUUGUGGGGUGUGGGAUUUAGUAAUUUACAACCCACAAGAUUACCAUUUUCUUGCUGACAAACGUUGGUUAUCUAGCUCAAAGUUGUACAAAACAAGGUAGUCAAUUAAAGUUGGUUAGUGAAUUAUGAAGAUCAGUGAGGUGAUUAUUAAGUUUCCAUUGCUGCAUAUUUUCUUUGUUACAAACAUGUUUCCUGUCCUGCAUAGCUUUGUGAUAACUUUGUAGAUUAGGCAUAAUUUGAUUAGUGAUUCUUGUGUUUCGCAUAAUUUGCAUAAAUACAAACAUGUUUGAUAUACCUCUUAAGAUGACAAUUUAUUGGGUUUGCUGGCUCUAGUUGCUGUUUGGUUAGGAUUGAGCAUAGCAGGAAGUGUAAUUGUUGGAGUGGGAUAUGGAUUUUUCACUGCUUGGGUUUUAACUUUUGUGGCCUUCAAACAAGAGACCGAGUCCAAUAAAUAUUUGCACUGCAUUGUGCUCAAGAGGCAAAUGAAGAUAUUGAUGAAAAAGGUGGAGCCUCAAGACAUUGAUUUGGAAUAUGACUCAGGCUCAUGUCAAUGGCAUCGUUGGUACAAAUAUUUUACACUUUUAAGAUGUUAUACUUAUUGCAUCCUUUUUUAGUCUUAAACUGUACAUGCAGUAUGGUUGUUCACGAGGCAUCUUUGAAAUUGUACUCCGGCUUUCUUUGUUAAUGGUUUUCCUUUGCCUGACUUAAUAUUGGAUAGAGGAAGAUCAUUUUAAUCGUUUUUGUGUACCUUAUUCAUCCUCCAAGUCUGGGGUAGCUCACUAGUACUCUCCCAGAACCCUGAUUGUACAUGUAGUUUAUUUACUCUUAAGAUCUUUUGAUUUACUUGUAAGUAAUUAUUCUUUACUACUAAUGUUUAAUAUACUA